This 458-nucleotide unclassified non-coding RNA is filed under the name Hevea brasiliensis (rubber tree). Lineage: Eukaryota; Viridiplantae; Streptophyta; Magnoliopsida; Malpighiales; Euphorbiaceae. The record is from RNAcentral.
GGGGUGACACGAUCUUAAUUAAGGUUUGAAUUCUUUUUCACUUACGUGUUUGAAUUAUUGUUCUUAGUAGUUGUUGCUGGUUUUUGGAUAUUGAUUACGUGUCUUUCUGCUGUGGUUUAUGUUCGAUUAGGAUUGUGAUUGAGAUUUGUGAUUUAUAUCUACAAUUAUUGAAGAUUUGGGGUUUUGGGUAGCUGGGUUGUUAUCUGAUAUGGGUUCUUGGGGUUUAAAGAUUUGUGAGCUGGGUUUGCUUCAUAUUUUUAGUUGUAUGUACUUAUUAAGAUUUUGACGGAGCCCUGUUUUUAUUUGAUUUGAGUGUUUAGUUGUUUCCCAAUUUGCAUUAGGGAUAGAAUUUGUUGGUCUGUUGGUGUGAUAAAUAAACCAUGGCAUUUGAAAAGAGGCUGUAUAUGUGACUUUGAAAAGGAAUUGGCUUCUGCAGGGGCCUUCGUAUUGUUAAGCGU